This 205-nucleotide long non-coding RNA is filed under the name Homo sapiens (human). RNAcentral's name for it is "HSALNT0384719". The record is from RNAcentral. Lineage: Eukaryota; Metazoa; Chordata; Mammalia; Primates; Hominidae.
UGAAAUAUGGUUGCUUUUGUGGCUUGGGAGGCCAUGGCCAGCCCCGCGAUGCCAUUGACUGGUGCUGCCAUGGCCACGACUGUUGUUACACUCGAGCUGAGGAGGCCGGCUGCAGCCCCAAGACAGAGCGCUACUCCUGGCAGUGCGUCAAUCAGAGCGUCCUGUGCGAGAUGGGGUUUCGCUAUGAUGCCCUGGCUAGUCUUCA